ACACCUCAAAAGUGGUCGUGAAGUUCAUUGGCUGGGAUGCCGUCCGUGGUGCCACUGCGCGCUUCUGUCGCCGCUCGAGCACGCGAGAGCAGACCUGUGGCGAUGGCCUGGACGACGACUGCGACUUUCUGCCGGACGAGCUGGACCCAGAUUGUGCCGGCAGGCCUGUUACCGGCAACAGAGAGAGGCCGCCACGGCCUCCACCCCAACGGAGCUACAGACCACCAACGCCGAGGCCGUCACCACCGCGGCCUGGGGGUUUACAAACAGGGUAAACAGGAUAACGGUUGCUUUCUGCGACUCAGCGAAGCAGCAGUGGUGCAUUUCUUAGGGUUCCCGGUAAUGGCGAUAGAGACACAAUCUGGACCGCUAACUUGCAGGUCCUCAGUGGUAACAUUCAUCUGCAUGUGUUGCUCAUAGCACUGUAGCCUGGGUACCUGCAAACAUGCGAGAGAUGUUGGCAUGUCCUCGGGGAGGAUGUGUCUGAGAGCGCUAGUGUGCUAGUCCAGUCCGCCAGUCCAGUACACACACACACACACACACACACACACGCGCGCGCGUGCGUAGACAUGGAGAGCGCUGGGAGUGUAGUCCUUUGUUCUGCAGUGAACAAAUGCAGUGUUCCAAAUUGUUGGCGGCUUGUAGUAUAGUUGUUGUUGGCAAGUGGCAUUAGCUAAUAGGCGCGGGUUGCUUGUUGGUUGGCAUGUAGCGCUCGUUUACAGCUUUGCCUCCCUGCAUCCAGUGCAGCCUUAGGCCUUAGUUGGUGGAAAGCCAGUACAGGAGUCUGUGAAGAUGCCAGGCAAGGCAGAGACUUGUGAUCUGCAGCCUCUGCAGUCUCUGGGUAGCGACCACGGCUACAUACGGAUGGCUAUGGUGGCUAAGUUCACUUAUUCACUGCUGCUGCGUCAACUGCCCGAUGCAGCGUCCCUACCUAACGAGGUAGCUUCCAGACAGCCAUUCCGCCGAGGACUGAUAGGUUUGGCGGAGUGUCUUAUCUGCACCUCUUCGGCUAUACAUUUGAUGGGCGGGGGUGCGUGCAAGGCCGACGUACAUGCAGAGUAGUUGCAGGCUCGCGGAGAAUUGUGCCAGUAGUGUGCGGUGUUGUAGUAAAUAACAUUUCAACGACAUAAUUAACUAGGCCAUAACAGCGCAUACCGCAUGUGUUUUAUAAGGGCCUUAGGCAGCUUUACAGGUUAGGCAGUCAGUCAUCCGUCAACCGGGCUGACUUCCGGAAAGUUAGUUCAUUCAGAGUUCAUCCAUCCCGCAGGCGCCGUGGGGGCCUGAGAUGUUAAGCAUGUAUGUGUAACAGUUUUUUAUGGUCACCUCAAUCUCUGAUUCCGACGGCAUGCAACCGUGGAGCUAGAGGCAUGCUCCUUCCAAUCAUAGUGCCAAGUACGGCCCCUUGCAGCAGAGCGCGCGCGUACGUUAAUUAUCGAUCUGUUAGAAGACAGCUGACGUAUCGCCAGCACCGCGAACGGUGCACAGGUGUCCUUGACCUUAGGUGCAGGAUGGGAAAGUGGAUAGUGGAAGCAGGUUUAUGUUGGGAAUGUUAGCAGUGGCGGCAAGGAUAGUAAGCAUUUGCUUCUGCAGGUACAGCAUUACGGGUGCAUGAGGCUACUUGCAAGCUGUAUGUAUGUAUGUAUGUAUGUAUGUAUGUAUGUAUGUAUGUAUGCAUGCAUUAUGUUGCCCGAAAUUGUGCAAGGCCAGGGAAACGUUGGCCCCCCUGCUUGCUUUGUUACCUAUCUUCGCUGCCCGGACCCAGCUUUCCGGAGUUAUCUGGAACAAAGCCAAGCCGCCACGUACUGUGUGGACGCGCAGAGGCAGGCGGUGGAAGCAUGAAGCGCGUGCGGGGGGGAUUGCAACACGUCCCUCACGGCUCGGGCUGUCUGCAUGAUCAAAUCUGGUCACGAGCGUUAAAUACCACCUCCUGGUUAUUAUAGCUUCCGAGGGCUCGUCAUUAGUUGGAGAGAUGGAUGGACAGAUGGAUGGAUUACUUGUUUCGUUGGAAGUGCGAGGUAGGAUGGUGCUUAUAGGCGAAUUGGCAGCCCUUGAGCUCUCGGCUCGUAUUAGGGUGGUUUGCAGGUACAGGGAACGCACCCACGGCAGCCACCAUCCGCAUUUCAGAUCUGCUGCAACAGGAUGAUAGAUAAGCAGCAAAUACAAGAAAUCCGUCACCACUUCCUGACAGCUUUCCUUACACUGCACUUCUCGGCUGGGUCCAGUCAGUGCUGGCAGGCAGGUUGGCUUCCAUGCAAGCCGUCUUUAGAGCUCUCCUCGCGUAAACUCGUACUUAAUGAUCGCCAGGCAAGAGAGCUGAAUGAUUUAUGAAUGAUGGAAUGCCUAUGGACUCAUUAUCAAUGGCUGACAUAGCCAGAAGCAGAGAUGAAUUGGCUUGGGGGAAGAUGCCCUAUCGUGUUCCCGUUUUCCGUCUGGGCUCCUUAGAUACUUAUUAGGUUGUGUGGGAUGAUUUUUGCAUAUGUUAGCAGGUGCGGGCCCUAGCAAAUUAUUUUAGGAUAAGUCGCAGCGUUUCCUUUUGGCGGGCUUUGCAGCAACUCCAUGUAUCAACGCGCAACACCUUUGUCGCUGGAGAAGCGUCUUCCUGUGCGGUGUAAUAUCUAACAAGCAGAUGUCGAAGUUUUACUGCAUUGCUACGACUGCAAACGCAUUCGAUGCAAUUUGUACUGCUACAGCACGUCCAGGAGCAACGCCCCUUGCAGUCGUUCUGCAGUUACGUAUUACUAGGAAAAAAAUAAACUUAUAUAAGAGCGCAUUUGGGAACCGAAAAAUUGCCCUGCUGCUUGCCAGUGUACGUUGCGAUGAGAAGGAUACUGCCAACGAAAAGGACUCGCGGCCUGAAUCGAUCUUGUUGCAUCACUUCGUUCAAGCCUGUUGCUAGCAUAAUACUGCAUGGCCUCGUCGUUUGGGCCUGCUGCGACGCCAGGCAAACACCUCGAGUCCAACCAUAAGGGCAAAUUCCCUUCCUCUACAAAAAACUACGGGCGCCAAGGACCAUUGAGCUUUGUCGCCAGCGCUAAGCUUUGUGCACGAGUCCUCUGACGUAAUAGUCUUUAAAUUGCACAGUUUUGCAUUUUACAUGUAUACUGAAGACCAAUACACUGUGUGGCCUUCAUUACUAGCAUAUAGUGCCAGAUGCUACCAAAUUUGCAACUAUGUUUUUAAUUGGCUGUAGUACCGCCUCAGGGGAAGCUACGCUGUGGCAUACAAGAUGUAGCUUAAAGUUUGUUGUGAAGCUGAAAAAUCCGGAUCCGGCAAUGAUUACAAAAAGCUGACACACCCACAAAGCAAAUAUUGAUCACAAUACAUCCUUAACGAUCGAUUCGCUUCGACGUUAUCUUGGCAGGUUUGGGGAGUCCAGCGAUAGGUAGUUUGCACCUAACACUCAAAAAGCUGCCGCCUGCUGGUAUAGAGAAACUCUCCCGCACGGAGCUCGAGGAUUUUAAUCUAUUCGCUGAGUAUAUCUGCGGUCCUGGAAAAGGUCAGUGGUCGGUGUUGAACAAGACAAUCACCUGUCGCCUGACAGUUAUUUUAACCUUGCAAAAAAGUCACCGGUGCCUACAAAUGCCCAGCAGGUUCUUUCUAUGCCCUUACACCGGUCUUGAUACGCGCGUGGUCGCAGCGACCGCGGCCAACUUGAGGGACAAUCAUGAGAACAUCAGCAAUAUUCACCCUUCGGGCGUCAGUCCUCAUACUUACCUGCAUUAGCCACCUUGGUCUUAUAUCCCAGGCGACAUUUGAUGAAUCUAGCGGGACAGCGAAGGGUAAGCUCUGCUUCCAAAUGGAGACCGAAUUCCCCAAAGGCGUCGGCCAGCGCCAAUAAAUCGAGAAGCUUUAAACUCACGCCUGUGACUACAGGAAGCUUACUGAUGCUCAUGUCGUCUAUUCAUGGCGGCCAAGACGCUUCGAAGUAUUACCUGCGACAAGAUGACGGACAAAUGUACAGCCUCUCCUUCUGCAGCGAGUUGGGUUCGCUCGGCCUGGCAUCCAAUCUUCGGGUUCAGGUGAAUUACAACCGCAUUGAGGAUGGCGUCAUGUACUCGUGCCAAAUUCCCGUUCCGCUGGAUGACGACUCGCCGUCGUCGACGCCGGUAUCGGCGUCGAAGCGGCGCGAGCUGUUUGGACCCACCAUCUCCACGCCCAAACGCCCCACCUUCCUCAUAUACAUCGUCACACUCUGCGGUUUCAGUCAACCGGCGGUGGCUACUGCCUCGGUGAGUGUCAUGCGGCGUCCUCCUGUGCCUUCUAUCCUCUAAAGCCCUAGCAUCAUUACGCUCGUGAACUUAACGCUUGCUAUCUCCGGUGCCACGUCAGUAGAUCGUAAUCCUGUUAGCUACAUGUCACAGCUGAUGUAACCAGAGUUUUAGAUCUUGUUGCCAUUGCCCCGCAAUCGCACGAAUCGCUACGGUGCAUGUAUGCCUCGCGACUGCUUUAAAUGGGAGGUCUGUUCGGGCUGGUUGUAUGCUUGUAAGCGACCCACUCUCCAUUCCUCGUCCCCAUCUCACUUUAUAAACCCCUGCCACCUAACUCUUCCGUUAGCGCGUACCUUAUGCAGCUAUAACCCAUCCGUUUUCCUUCCAUCCGCAGAGAAUGCGGGAUUUCUUCUUCAGAAACAACUCGAUUUCUCUUUCGGGUUAUUACGACACAUGUUCGUACGGACAGAUCUCCGUGCUACCGGAGCAAGUGGAGAUUGUUACCGGGCUGGAAAUUCCUUGCAAUGGCACGUUGGACCUACCGUUCCGCUUCCCGACCGGCAAUAAGUUCGACACACGGAACUGUGAGAACGACAACUUGGUCAAGUGGCAGUACUACCUGGAUGACGUCGUAUCGGACAUGGGCAUCACCCCGACGGAUUUCCACCACAAGGUCAUUUACUUGCCCCCAACCUUCGUCGGAUAUAGUGAGUCCAGGCCGUGUGGCUUUGGGGAAUCUUUGCGCUUCAGGUUUACAGCUCAUACAGCUUUCUCCGCCAUUUCGCUUAACAUGGCGCUGCUCGUGCCGCUGCUCCUUGAGGCUGCUCCUUGAGCGCCAUCGUGAUAUGCUGGCGGCCUCCCGCUGGCCCGCCAGCAUAUGCCGCCCCUGGCCCAAAUCCUGGCACUCCGCGGUCACGUUAUGUUGGGCUACACGCUGUGUGGGUAAAUUACUUACACCGGAUAUAUUGGUGCCACUCUCCACCUCCUUGCAGGAUGCAACAACUUCGCAGGCACAGCCUCCGUGGGCCCCUGGAUUAAAACUGACAGCAAAAUCAAUGAUUACGGCACGGGUCUCAUAUGGAUGGCCGGGGACGUGUUCCCGAACAUCGAGUACUUCUUUCACGAGGUUGGUCACACCCUGUCUAUGGCACACGCCACCAUCCCCAACGGCUGUGAUUUGAGAGACCAGUGCGACCACACCUGCCCCAUGGGGGCCACGGGCGGCCAAGGCAUCCGCUGCCUCAACGCGCCGCACAUGUGGCAGGUGCGUAUUCGUCAUGGUGGUACGAACGUCGGGUUGCCGUACAUGAGGCAGGACGGCACGAUUCACGGUUUUUACGAUGCUUAGGCAGGCGUGACGGAAUCAGCGAAUUGAAUGGCUGCGUUCAUGGCUGAGCCGCCCAGGCAAGGGCCUUUUACUUAUAAAUGACGCUUGCUAGCACGAGUGCAUCGUGCAUCACUAAAUCUGUGAGGGAGAAGCCCUCCCUCACCAUUAACCGUUCCGCAUGCGCAUCUUCGUUUUUUGGUCUCGCGCGUUAGUUGACUACCGGUAUUGUGUACGGUGUGCAGUUGAGGAAUAGGUUUUACUCGGUUCCAUUGCUUAAAGCUUGCCGCAACGGUUGCCGUAGAUCACCCCAGUCCCCCCUCGUCUUUUGCCUACGCACUAGCCGGGCCGAAACACCAGCUCACGGUCUUUUCCUUGGGGUCUGGGGCUCGAUGUUACUUUACCUGCUACUACUACUAACAGCCCAAGCCUGCCGUGAGCCCUGAAGUCAUGCCUCUUAACUUUGGUAUCGCCCCGCCUGUUUGUUAUGCAGCUUGGCUGGAGUCAACCCAUGCGGCGCCUCACUGAGUCAGAUCUGCCGUACGGUGCCAGCCGAGAAAUCUUGAUCCCGAGGCAAAUGUCCACCAAGGACAGCUAUGUGGUCGUGUCGGGAGUCAGGGGCCUGGUGCCAACUGACGCCAUGUACUUCGCCGUCCGCAUGAAUGAGUACCCGUACGAAUUGCCAUUUGAGGUGAACAACAACAAGCCGUACAUCGUAGUGCAUUCGUACAACGGCACAUCGAUGGCGCCAUACGUGCAAACGGUGCUUCUGGGGGAGAUAUCCGUGAAUAACAGAUUUGUUCAUAACAGCUCAAACGUGGUCGUGAAGUUCACUGGCUGGGAUGCCGUCCGUGGUGCCACUGCGCGCUUCUGUCGCCGCUCGAGCACGCGAGAGCAGACCUGUGGCGAUGGCCUGGAUGACGACUGCGACUUCCUGCCGGACGAGCUGGACCCGGACUGUGUCGGCAGGAUGCCCGUUACCGGCAACAACGACGAAGACCCUCAAGGCACCGGUGAGAGGCCGCCGCCGCCUCCACCCCAACGGAGCUACAGACCACGGACGCUGACGUUGUCACCACCGCCGCCUCCGCCGGUACGCAGCCCGCCACCACCGCUGGCACGCAGCCCGCCACCGCCGCCAGCCCCAAGUCCGCCGC
Molecule: long non-coding RNA, 6689 nt
Filed under: Volvox carteri
Lineage: Eukaryota; Viridiplantae; Chlorophyta; Chlorophyceae; Chlamydomonadales; Volvocaceae
Description: long non-coding RNA (VCAR_LNC002447)
Source: RNAcentral